This 406-nucleotide ribosomal RNA is filed under the name uncultured bacterium. RNAcentral describes it as "partial 16S ribosomal RNA". It matches the Rfam family "Bacterial small subunit ribosomal RNA", at positions 29 to 526 of the family's 1533-position model. The record is from RNAcentral.
AUUGAACGCUGGCGGCAGGCCUAACACAUGCAAGUCGAGCGAGCGGCGGACGGGUGAGUAAUGUCUGGGAAACUGCCUGAUGGAGGGGGAUAACUACUGGAAACGGUAGCUAAUACCGCAUACCAUCAGAUGUGCCCAGAUGGGAUUAGUUAGUAGGGGGGGUAACGGCUCACCUAGGCGACGAUCCCGAGCUGGUCUGAGAGGAUGACCAGCCAAACUGGAACUGGGAAACGGUCCAGCCUCCUACGGGAGGAAGAAGUGGGGAACAUUGGACAAUGGGCGCAAGCCGGAUGCAGCAAGGCGGCGGGUGUGAAGAAGGCCUUCGGGUGGUAAAGCACUUUCAGCGGGGAGGCGUUACCCGCAGAAGAAGCACCGGCUAACUCCGUGCCAGCCGCCGCGGUAAUUC